AAGUAAAAAGUGAUUAUCACAGUCAGUUUCGACCUGACCCUAGGUAUAAAAUUACCUUUACUUG
RNAcentral lists this transfer RNA (64 nucleotides) under Pseudolestes mirabilis. Its description in RNAcentral is "tRNA-Arg". The record is from RNAcentral. Lineage: Eukaryota; Metazoa; Arthropoda; Insecta; Odonata; Pseudolestidae.